CCUACGGGGGGCAGCAGUGGGGGAUAUUGCACAAUGGGGGAAACCCUGAUGCAGCGACGCCGCGUGGGUGAAGAAGUAUUUCGGUAUGUAAAGCCCUAUCAGCAGGGAAGAAAGAAGACGGUACCUGACUAAGAAGCCCCGGCUAACUACGUGCCAGCAGCCGCGGUAAUACGUAGGGGGCGAGCGUUAUCCGGAUUCACUGGGUGUAAAGGGAGCGUAGACGGCCGUGCAAGCCAGGAGUGAAAGCCCGGGGCCCAACCCCGGGACUGCUCUUGGAACUGUGCGGCUGGAGUGCGGGAGGGGCAGGCGGAAGUCCUGGUGUAGCGGUGAAAUGCGUAGAUAUCAGGAGGAACACCGGCGGCGAAGGCGGCCUGCUGGACCGCGACUGACGUUGAGGCUCGAAAGCGUGGGGAGCGAACAGGAGUAGAUACCCCAGUAGUC
This 441-nucleotide ribosomal RNA is filed under the name uncultured bacterium. Its description in RNAcentral is "partial 16S ribosomal RNA". It matches the Rfam family "Bacterial small subunit ribosomal RNA", at positions 338 to 795 of the family's 1533-position model. The record is from RNAcentral.